GCCCGUGUUAGGAUUUGAGUUUGACAUGCUUGGUCUAAACCGUUGGCCCUCGACCACUACGACCCGGGUUCGAUUCCCGCAUUGGGCA
Molecule: transfer RNA, 88 nt
Filed under: Cordylochernes scorpioides
Lineage: Eukaryota; Metazoa; Arthropoda; Arachnida; Pseudoscorpiones; Chernetidae
Description: tRNA-Glu
Source: RNAcentral